UACGUAGGGGGCAAGCGUUGUCCGGAAUCAUUGGGCGUAAAGCGCGUGUAGGCGGUCCGGUAAGUCCGCUGUGAAAGUCGGGGGCUCAACCCUCGGAUGCCGGUGGAUACUGUCGGGCUAGAGUACGGAAGAGGCAAGUGGAAUUCCUGGUGUAGCGGUGGAAUGCGCAGAUAUCAGGAGGAACACCCAUAGCGAAGGCAGCUUGCUGGGACGUUACUGACGCUAAGGCGCGAAAGCGUGGGGAGCGAACAGG
This 253-nucleotide ribosomal RNA is filed under the name uncultured bacterium. RNAcentral's name for it is "partial 16S ribosomal RNA". It matches the Rfam family "Bacterial small subunit ribosomal RNA", at positions 524 to 776 of the family's 1533-position model. The record is from RNAcentral.